GCUGGGUGUGGUGGUGCAUGCCUGUAAUCCCAGCUACUUGGGAGGCUGAGUCAGGAGAAUCGCUUGAACCCAGGAGGCAGAGGUUGCAGUGAGCUGAGAUUGCACCACUGCAUUCCAGCCUGGGUGACAGAGCAAGACUCUGUCUCAA
This 148-nucleotide non-coding RNA is filed under the name Nomascus leucogenys (northern white-cheeked gibbon). Lineage: Eukaryota; Metazoa; Chordata; Mammalia; Primates; Hylobatidae. The record is from Rfam by way of RNAcentral.